GGGUGUUGGGGGCAAUCUGCCUGUAACAUCUGUCACCCUCCUUGGUCAGCAGGGUUGAUUCAGCUGAUCUGGCUGGCUAGCAGGGUGUCCCCUUCCUGCCUCACCACUCCAUGGGCAUCUUUCCUCAAGCUAUGUGCUUGUCGAAAGAGGACAGCUUUCCCUGUGAGAGAGAGAACCAUCCUUUGGUCAAGGGUAUAUGAACAGCAGUACUUCCCUACUAGAACCUCCAAACCAAGUCUCAAGAUUAGGUUUUCAGGGUUUUUGAGGUAAAGAUACCGUGUGUUCAGGAAACCUCAGAUACUUGGAAAGAUAAUC
Otolemur garnettii (small-eared galago) is the source of this 315-nucleotide unclassified non-coding RNA. Its record names the gene 7SK. It matches the Rfam family "7SK RNA". Rfam says of the family: 7SK was discovered as an abundant small nuclear RNA in the mid-70s but a possible function has only recently been suggested. NCBI's taxonomy places the organism in Eukaryota, Metazoa, Chordata, Mammalia, Primates, Galagidae. The record is from Ensembl.